CGGUACGUACUGGCAUUGUUGGUUUCUCCCUUCUGACGAACCAUGAUGUCAUUUAUUUGGUGUUGUGGGGAAUCAGGACUGUUACUUUGAAAAAAUUAGAGUGUUUAAAGCAGGCUAAGGCUUGAAUACAUUAGCAUGGAAUAAUGAAAUAGGACGUUCGAUCCUAUUUUGUUGGUUUCUAGGAUUGACGUAAUGAUUAAUAGGGAUAGUUGGGGGCAUUAGUAUUCAAUUGUCAGAGGUGAAAUUCUUGGAUUUAUUGAAGACUAACCACUGCGAAAGCGUUUGCCAAGGAUGUUUUCAUUAAUCAAGAACGAAAGUUAGGGGAUCGAAGACGAUCAGAUACCGUCGUAGUCUUAACCAUAAACUAUGCCGACUAGGGAUCGGAUGAUGUUAAUUUUUUAAUGACUCAUUCGGCGCCUUACG
RNAcentral lists this ribosomal RNA (423 nucleotides) under uncultured Glomeromycotina. RNAcentral describes it as "SSU rRNA". It matches the Rfam family "Eukaryotic small subunit ribosomal RNA", at positions 671 to 1092 of the family's 1831-position model. Lineage: Eukaryota; Fungi; Glomeromycota. The record is from RNAcentral.